UCAGUCUCUGAACCCAACCUGAAGGUGCGCUCUCGGUUGAAGCAGAAGGUAGCAGAGAGGCGCAGUUCGCCUCUUCUCCGCAGAAAGGAUGGAACCAUCAUCAGCACCUUCAAGAAACGAGCCAUUGAGAUUUCAGUCUCUUCUCUCUGUAACAGCGCACCAGGUUCUGGUCCCAGCAGUCCCAACAGCUCCAACACAGCCAUCUCCAAUGGCAAUACAAGUUCUGUCCCCAACAUACAGACCGAGUUGAGAUCUCUCCAUCAGACUCUGGGGACAGAGGGGACACUGAGUCCUCUGAGUCUCUACACCUCACCCUCCCUGCCCAACAUCUCUCUAGGCCUCCCUGCCAACACACAC
Nematolebias whitei (Rio pearlfish) is the source of this 357-nucleotide long non-coding RNA. RefSeq lists it as uncharacterized. Lineage: Eukaryota; Metazoa; Chordata; Actinopteri; Cyprinodontiformes; Rivulidae. The record is from RefSeq and is a predicted model, not a curated record. The transcript has 3 exons.